CAUUUAACCAGGAAGUUCACGCCUCCUUCCUUACCAUGACGCGAAAUAUGUCCAAAGCUCGUUUUGAACCUGGAUCUCCUGCUUAUAAAGCAUAUGAUCUAACCACUGCGCCACGGCCGCACAAUAUUUGGCAUAACUUUUUUGUGAAUCAAGAAGCUCGUUUUAAUCAGUUUAGAAAAUUAAAAGGUUUAAAGAAAGAUAAGCGCUAGAAAAAGAAUGAGCUAAAACAAAAGAAGGCAGAGACACCAACAAAAAGCUUUGAAGUUAAUGAUAGUGAAGAGGAGGCAGAUAAUUAUAAAAAUCUUUGCAGCUAAAGACAGUGAAGAUAAUCAAACCAGGUAAUAAAACAAUUCACUCUAUGGAUCCUAUGGGAGAACAGAUAAAUUCCAUCAAAAAAGAAGAAGUGAAAUGGAAUAGUUGUUACUUACAACAAAGAUAUGGUGUUUCAGAAAAGUUUGAAAUAUUAACAUUACCACAUGCCAUACAAGCUGAAGUUUGCUGAAAGUUAUACAAAUGGAGAAGUAUUGGUGCGUUUCUUUCCACAUGUAGAAGUUAAUGCAUACAGAAAGAGAGAUAAAGGAGGUCAGAAAAGUUGGCAGAAUAGUUUGUGUCGCAUUUGUGGAAGCGAAAUUGGUCAAAAAACUAGAAAAAAUCAAAAAAAAGUUAAAUGGAUCAAAUGUGAUAUUUGCAUCUAAAUUGAUGGUACCGUAUAAGAUGCAUUGUUUUUAAAAAUGAAACUUUAUUUUGUUGUGAACAUAUUUAUAUAUAAAUGUAAU
Molecule: long non-coding RNA, 776 nt
Organism: Hydra vulgaris (swiftwater hydra)
Lineage: Eukaryota; Metazoa; Cnidaria; Hydrozoa; Anthoathecata; Hydridae
Source: RefSeq, a predicted model, not a curated record